RNAcentral lists this ribosomal RNA (253 nucleotides) under uncultured bacterium. RNAcentral describes it as "partial 16S ribosomal RNA". It matches the Rfam family "Bacterial small subunit ribosomal RNA", at positions 524 to 776 of the family's 1533-position model. The record is from RNAcentral.
UACGUAGGGUGCAAGCGUUGUCCGGAAUUAUUGGGCGUAAAGAGCUCGUAGGCGGUCUGUCGCGUCGGCUGUGAAAACCUGGGGCUCAACUCCGGGCCUGCAGCCGAUACGGGCAGACUAGAAUUCGGUAGGGGAGACUGGAAUUCCUGGUGUAGCGGUGAAAUGCGCAGAUAUCAGGAGGAACACCGGUGGCGAAGGCGGGUCUCUGGGCAUUAACUGACGCUGAGGAGCGAAAGCAUGGGGAGCGAACAGG